RNAcentral lists this ribosomal RNA (208 nucleotides) under uncultured bacterium. RNAcentral's name for it is "partial 16S ribosomal RNA". It matches the Rfam family "Bacterial small subunit ribosomal RNA", at positions 568 to 774 of the family's 1533-position model. The record is from RNAcentral.
CUCGUAGGCGGUUUGGUAAGUCGGAUGUGAAAUCUCCACGCUCAACGUGGAGCGGCCAUUCGAUACUGCCAUGACUUGAGUCCGGUAGAGGAGUGUGGAAUUCCCGGUGUAGCGGUGAAAUGCACAGAUAUCGGGAGGAACACCAGUAGCGAAGGCGGCACUCUGGGCCGGUACUGACGCUGAGGAGCGAAAGCGUGGGGAGCGAACA